RNAcentral lists this ribosomal RNA (646 nucleotides) under uncultured bacterium. RNAcentral's name for it is "bacterial SSU rRNA". It matches the Rfam family "Bacterial small subunit ribosomal RNA", at positions 28 to 672 of the family's 1533-position model. The record is from RNAcentral.
AUUGAACGCUGGCGGUAUGCUUAACACAUGCAAGUCGAACGGUAACAGGCCUUCGGGCGCUGACGAGUGGCGGACGGGUGAGUAACGCGUAGGAAUCUGCCUUAUAGUGGGGGACAACGUGGGGAAACCCACGCUAAUACCGCAUACGCCCUACGGGGGAAAGCGGGGGAUCGUAAGACCUCGCGCUAUGAGAUGAGCCUGCGUUAGAUUAGCUAGUUGGUAGGGUAAAGGCCUACCAAGGCGACGAUCUAUAGCUGGUCUGAGAGGACGAUCAGCCACACUGGGACUGAGACACGGCCCAGACUCCUACGGGAGGCAGCAGUGGGGAAUAUUGGACAAUGGGCGCAAGCCUGAUCCAGCAAUACCGCGUGUGUGAAGAAGGCCUUAGGGUUGUAAAGCACUUUCAAUGGGGAGGAAAACCUGCCGGUCAAUACCCGGUAGCUUGACAUUACCUAUAGAAGAAGCACCGGCUAACUCCGUGCCAGCAGCCGCGGUAAUACGGAGGGUGCGAGCGUUAAUCGGAAUUACUGGGCGUAAAGCGUGCGUAGGCGGUUCGUUAAGUCAGAUGUGAAAGCCCUGGGCUCAACCUGGGAACUGCAUUUGAAACUGGCGGACUAGAGUUUAGUAGAGGGGAGUGGAAUUUCAG